UUGACCUCGGAUCAGGUAGGAAGACCCGCUGAACUUAAGCAUAUCAAUAAGCGGAGGAAAAGAAACCAACAGGGAUUGCCCUAGUAACGGCGAGUGAAGCGGCAACAGCUCAAAUUUGAAAUCUGGCUUCGGCCCGAGUUGUAAUUUGUAGAGGAAGCUUUAGGCGCGGCACCUUCUGAGUCCCCUGGAACGGGGCGCCAUAGAGGGUGAGAGCCCCGUAUAGUUGGAUGCCUAGCCUGUGUAAAGCUCCUUCGACGAGUCGAGUAGUUUGGGAAUGCUGCUCAAAAUGGGAGGUAAAUUUCUUCUAAAGCUAAAUAUUGGCCAGAGACCGAUAGCGCACAAGUAGAGUGAUCGAAAGAUGAAAAGCACUUUGAAAAGAGGGUUAAAUAGCACGUGAAAUUGUUGAAAGGGAAGCGCUUGUGACCAGACUUGCGCCGGGCGGAUCAUCCGGUGUUCUCACCGGUGCACUCCGCCCGGCUCAGGCCAGCAUCGGUUCUCGUGGGGGGAUAAAGGCCCUGGGAACGUAGCUCCUCCGGGAGUGUUAUAGCCCAGGGUGUAAUGCCCUCGCGGGGACCGAG
This 578-nucleotide ribosomal RNA is filed under the name Chaetomiaceae sp. NRRL 62993. RNAcentral's name for it is "eukaryotic LSU rRNA". It matches the Rfam family "Eukaryotic large subunit ribosomal RNA", at positions 1 to 590 of the family's 3401-position model. The record is from RNAcentral. Lineage: Eukaryota; Fungi; Ascomycota; Sordariomycetes; Sordariales; Chaetomiaceae.